CACGAGGGUCUCACUGUCUUAAGAAAAUUUCCAGUGAAAUUGAAUUUGUAGUGAAGAUGCUACAUCCAAAUUGUUAGACAAGAAGUCCCCAUGGAACUUUACUGGAGACUUAUGAGGCUUAAAUUAAUUUAUUUCUUACAAAUAAAUAGUUUUAAAAUGUGGUGUUAACCUCUUGGGUAAACUAGGGUUAGAAAAGCUCACUCUUUUAUUUAAAGAAAGCCAACUCAAAGAAUUAUGUCUUUGGGAUUUGAUAAGUGGGACAGUUUGGUUGGGGCGACCGCCUUUAAAAAAGUAACGAAGGCGGGCUUAAGAUACAUAUUUAGUGAUGUCUGACUGCCAAGGGGGGAUCCUGAGCAGACACUUACUUUUUAGGUGGGUUUAAGUGACCCGUUAAUUUAGGGUGAAAUAGUUAACGAUAAACA
RNAcentral lists this ribosomal RNA (422 nucleotides) under Fungiacyathus pusillus pacificus. RNAcentral's name for it is "partial 16S ribosomal RNA". It matches the Rfam family "Bacterial large subunit ribosomal RNA", at positions 2003 to 2454 of the family's 2925-position model. Lineage: Eukaryota; Metazoa; Cnidaria; Anthozoa; Scleractinia; Fungiacyathidae. The record is from RNAcentral.